Molecule: non-coding RNA, 132 nt
Organism: Caenorhabditis elegans
Lineage: Eukaryota; Metazoa; Nematoda; Chromadorea; Rhabditida; Rhabditidae
Source: Ensembl
UUGUGAUGAUGAACAACUGCUAACUGACAAAUGAGUGGAAAUAAACGAAAACGAAUGAGAAAGGGGGACGGGUCGGAUAACAGAAAAACAUGCGGCUAGGUGAUCAAGGUGGAGCUCUCUGAUUUAUUGGUC